GUGUUGGGGUGUUUUGUGAUUGAGGCGCGGAUGUGGAGGUGGUUUAGGGAUACCCUGUUGGCUGCCGUUUGAGGUGGCAGAGGGGAAUCCUUUCGAGAGCAUUAAUGGCCCUGGGUCCUGCCUUCGCGCGGAGGAGGCCUCGUUCCCGAGAUCAGGCCUGACCGGGAUAAGCCCCAGUCCUGCCUCAGUCUCCCGAGUCCUGGAAUUACAGUUUGAAGUGACAGCUUUUUUCUUGGGGGGAUCUUGCAAGGAUAUUUUGUCACCCUUCCAUUCCAUGACGAAAUGAUUCUUCAGGCUUAGAAAGAGUAAGAUGUGUCUGUAAUUCAGAUUACUUCAUCUUUGGUGUUUUUCAGCCCAGGAUCAUUCAUUCUAUGUAACCAAUACUG
Castor canadensis (American beaver) is the source of this 386-nucleotide non-coding RNA. The record is from RefSeq and is a predicted model, not a curated record. NCBI's taxonomy places the organism in Eukaryota, Metazoa, Chordata, Mammalia, Rodentia, Castoridae.